AACGAACGCUGGCGGCGCGCCUAAUACAUGCAAGUCGAACGAGAAGGUGUAGCAAUACACUUGUACAGUGGCGAACGGGUGCGUAAUGCAUGAGCAAUCUACCCUUGAGGCGGGAAUAACCCAGCGAAAGUUGGGCUAAUACCGGAUAAGACCACAAGAGGAGACCCUAGAGGCUAAAGGCAGCUCUCUUUUGGGGGCGGCCCUUUGAGGAGGAGCUCAUGUCCUAUCAGCUAGUUGGUAGGGUAACGGCCUACCAAGGCGAAGACGGGUAGCUGGUCUUAGAGGAUGAUCAGCCACACGGGGACUGAGACACGGCCCCGACUCCUAC
This 328-nucleotide ribosomal RNA is filed under the name uncultured bacterium. RNAcentral describes it as "bacterial SSU rRNA". It matches the Rfam family "Bacterial small subunit ribosomal RNA", at positions 29 to 342 of the family's 1533-position model. The record is from RNAcentral.